UGCAUAUCCAUUAUUAUUAGAGUAGAUGCAAAGAGGGGAAUCUUUGUGAGAAAUAAUGAACUGGUCCCCAUCCAUUAUAAUAGGCAGCACCAUCAUUAUCAUAACCUCAUACACAGAAAAAGAAAAGACAAAAUAACAAUGUUUUCAAUCACACAUCAUCUUCUGCUUCAUCCGAAAACAAUGGUGGCAAAAACCAGAAGCAAUCAAAUUAGAAGUCAUCACUUUGAAUUAACUCAACACCCUCUCUUAUCUCUAUUAUUUCCAUUGGAGAGCUCAAAAACAAACACAAAAAAAACAAACAAAUACCCUUCAAAAUGGACAAAAAUAAAACUUAAUUUUAUUACAAUGAAAUAUACUAAUACUACUAUUACUUAUUACUAUUACUACCAACCUAGUCAUGAUAUCAUAAUGAGGAAUAAUAGAAAAAAUUUGUCUUCACUUUCUUAA
This is a non-coding RNA of Vicia faba (fava bean), 447 nucleotides long. The record is from the annotation of a GenBank genome assembly. Lineage: Eukaryota; Viridiplantae; Streptophyta; Magnoliopsida; Fabales; Fabaceae.